Molecule: ribosomal RNA, 477 nt
Filed under: Dunaliella salina
Lineage: Eukaryota; Viridiplantae; Chlorophyta; Chlorophyceae; Chlamydomonadales; Dunaliellaceae
Description: partial large subunit ribosomal RNA
Rfam family: Eukaryotic large subunit ribosomal RNA
Source: RNAcentral
CCCAACUUGAAAAUCUCCCUUUGGAGAAUUGUAGUCUAGAGAAGCGCCCUCUGCGGCGGCCGGAGCCUAAGUCCGUUGGAAAACGGCGUCAGAGAGGGUGAGAACCCCGUCGGCUCUAGGCUUACCUGCUCCACGAGGUGCUUUCCACGAGUCGGGUUGUUUGGAAAUGCAGCCCAAAAUGGGAGGUACAUCCCUUCUAAGGCUAAAUACUGGCGAGAGACCGAUAGCGAACAAGUACCGUGAGGGAAAGAUGAAAAGAACUUUGAAAAGAGAGUUAAAAAGUGCUUGAAAUUGUUGAGAGGGAAGCGUUUGGAGGUUAUAGGUGCGCCUAGGCUUAUACGGUUCUAACGAGCCGUUGUAUGUGCUAGGUGCUGGUCAACAUGGCUUAGCUUGACGGGAUAACACCGGGGGUUGAUACCCCGUCUAUGCCGCCGGGUUGAUCAAGGUGUGAAUGGCGCUCUGUCCUUCGGGAACUGC